ACACAGAAGCCUCUGCCCAGUUUACAGUGCCACAGGUUUCAAGACACAGCUUCACCUGAACGGGAUGCUACAGUAACAGACUUAGCUCAUGGUCAAAUCCUAUUUUUCUCCCCAGAAGCUGUCUUGAACGUGUAUCACUGUCAGUGUAACAGAUUGGCAGGACCACAUCUGGAAUAUGAGCAGUUUGAUCACCCAUGUUCAAGACAUCUCCCAAACCAAUGCCUCUACACUGGGAACUUUUCUUAUGUGAUUACUUGAAAAUCAAGCAUAAGCAAAUGUGAGGAUUUCUCUCAACACUGUGUUUUUGUCACAAGUAAAACAGAUCGGUAGCAAUGUUUAACAC
Molecule: long non-coding RNA, 343 nt
Organism: Columba livia (rock pigeon)
Lineage: Eukaryota; Metazoa; Chordata; Aves; Columbiformes; Columbidae
Exons: 3
Source: RefSeq, a predicted model, not a curated record